AUGCAAUUUGUUUCCUGUAAUCUGCUCUCUAGCUUUGUAUGAUAGRACUGAAUAGGUAGGUGUUGAAAUCUUCCUUGGAUGGAAUUUUUAGGCAUUUAGAAACCAUUUCAAGAGUGGCAGGAAUCCCAAAGUUUUGUUAAUCACUUGUAUAUUUGAUAGACAAAUGUGACUUAUGAAGCUGACAUGCCUUUCACACUGUAAUAAAUAUUUGUGCUGAACUCUUGCUUCAGAGGCUGCACGGGGCGAAGCGAUGGCCCAGGUUACGGUUGGCAUGCUGAUAGAACAACCAGAAGAAAACGUAGAUGAACACAACCUCGAGGAACUCGAUGCUCAGCGUUUGAGUGACAGCGAACUGCGGGACCAGCUCAUCCUGUAUGGGCUCGAACCUGGACCAAUACUGCCUUCCACAAGGACACUUUAUGAAAAUAAGCUUCUGCAGUUGAUAGAUGAAAGCACCCUAGCCUGCUGUGGUAAGCCAGAUGAAAGUGGACACCUCGAUGAGGGCUCAGAAAAUGAAGAUCAUGAAGAACAAGGUACAAUAUUAAAAUCUCAGAAUCUAAAAAUAAAAAAAAAGGUACUAGUCUUUACAAAACAACAUCUUUGCUUAGUGUUGAGUAUUUUUGAGAUAUAUUUUGAAAAUCCUCCAGGGACAUACUGCACGAGGUCUUUAGGUACCUAAAGAUGCAGAAUAUAAAUUGAAAUUAUUUCUCUUCUUUUUUUUUGGGAGGGGGGG
This 733-nucleotide long non-coding RNA is filed under the name Dromaius novaehollandiae (emu). RNAcentral's name for it is "lncRNA (ENSDNVG00000013280.1)". The record is from RNAcentral. Lineage: Eukaryota; Metazoa; Chordata; Aves; Casuariiformes; Dromaiidae.